Molecule: non-coding RNA, 73 nt
Organism: Phycicoccus sp. Soil802
Lineage: Bacteria; Bacillati; Actinomycetota; Actinomycetes; Micrococcales; Intrasporangiaceae
Source: Rfam
GGGCCUGUAGCUCAGUUGGUAGAGCGCCACGUUUACACCGUGGAUGUCGUCGGUUCGAGCCCGGCCGGGCCCA